Molecule: ribosomal RNA, 2134 nt
Filed under: Strigamia maritima
Lineage: Eukaryota; Metazoa; Arthropoda; Chilopoda; Geophilomorpha; Linotaeniidae
Description: partial 28S ribosomal RNA
Rfam family: Eukaryotic large subunit ribosomal RNA
Source: RNAcentral
CAUUAAGCGGUGGAAAAGGAACUACAAGGAUUCCCCCAGUAACUGCGAGUGAAAAGGGAAGAGCCCAGCGCCGAAGNNGNCGNCCAUCACAGUGGGCGGAGGGCAAUGUGGCGUUAAGGAAGAGCCUUCUUGACCUGACGUUUCGUUGUUCGGACCGCGGGAGCCCGAGUCCCCCUGACCGGGGCCACUGCCCAUGGCGGGUGCAAGGCCUCUUCGGCUCCGUUCGACGGUUCGAAGGUUGCUGGCUUCCUUCCUCAGAGUCGGGUUGCUUGAGAGUGCAGCCCUAAGCGGGUGGUAAACUCCACCUAAGGCUAAAUAUCACCACGAGACCGAUAGCGAACAAGUACCGUGAGGGAAAGUUGCAAAGAACUUUGAAGAGAGAGUUCAAGAGUACGUGAAACCGCUCGGAGGCAAACGGGUGGGCCCUCGAAGGUCGAACGGGGGAAUUCAGCCUGUCGGCGAGCGCUUCCUGAUUUUGAAAGAAAAAUAGUACCGUCGAAAAGCAUUCGUGCGAAACGGAUCCGAGAAACCCAAAAAGCGGACCGGGCGGCAGGAGAGAUUUUACAAAAGCGUUCGUCGGCUCGUGCACUUUCCCCUUAGUAGGACGCCGCGACCGGUCGGGUCGAUAAAAGUUUUGCGGCCAUGAGGCGAGAACGAUCACGGAGGCAGGUGUCCGUUUCCGCGGGUCUCGCGGUCAGGGGGCUUCGGCGAUUCGCGUCGUCGUCGCACCUCGCGCGUCUCCCAGGUUCGGAGUUACAGCCUCUUCUCGACCCGUGCACCGCCACCCGACCGACAAAUGGUCACGAAUCCGUAGACGCGUGCCCGCGUGUAGUCAAAUACAACGCUCGCCCUAGUCCAGGGCAGGCCGGAUGCGCGAGUAAAAGUCCCACCUCGGCCCGUUAUCAAACGCGGGUAGGGGAUCCGACGGGCGCCGAAAGCAAAAAACCGAAAAGGCGGUCGUCGGCUCCGCGUCUGCCGUUACGCCCACGUGGAACUGGAAUCUGGCGUAGAGGCAAGAAAAAUUCAAAAAUAAAACGCUCACGGUCGGCGGCGAGUAGGUCGGGCACCUACCCGACUCCGUCUUGAAACACGGACCAAGGAGUCUAACAUGUGUGCGAGUCGUAGGGUCUGCUUUUAAAACGAGCUAAACCCGAUGGCGAAAUGAAAGUGAAGGCCGCCCCUUCGGUGGGGAUGCAGAACGGCCGAGGCGAGAUCCUAAAAAAGUCGGCCUCCCUUUUCCCUCUCUCACGGGGGGGAUUUGCGGAGCCACCGGCGAAAUUUUUAAAAGAAACCGGACAUGGUAGGCACGCCGUCGGUCGUCAAAAAACCGUCGGCGGUCCGGAGGCGCAUCGCCGGCCCGUCUCGAUCGCUCCGAUCUUCCUUCCCGUUCUCCGCUCGCCGUUUCGGCUUUCCCGUCUCGUCACCUCUUUCGCGAGAGGCCGGGGCCGGGGUCGUCGCAUUCGGUUGGGGUUCGGGGGGGUCGAAAGGAAUCUCGGUCGAUGAGGCGGAGCAAGAGCACACACGUUGGGACCCGAAAGAUGGUGAACUAUGCCCGGGCAGGACGAAGCCAGAGGAAACUCUGGUGGAGGUCCGCAGCGAUUCUGACGUGCAAAUCGAUCGUCGGACCUGGGUAUAGGGGCGAAAGACUAAUCGAACCGUCUANNNNNNNNNNNNNNNNNNAAGUUUCCCUCAGGAUAGCUGGCGCUCGGAAACGAAAACGAAAGAAAUGAAACAGUCUCAUCCGGUAAAGCGAAUGAUUAGAGGCAUUGGGGCCGAAACGGCCUCAACCUAUUCUCAAACUUUCAAUGGGUGAGAUGUCCGGCUUGCUUAACGAAUAGAAACAGGGGGGUCGCUCGCGGCUUGUGCGUCUCUUUUCUCGCCUCUUUUUCGAAGUGUUUCGCGACACGGAUGACUGGGAGUGCCGGGAGAUCUGCGCGCGCUCGUCGCGUCGGCCACAAACCCUUGAAGCACGGACGUAGGAUGCGAGUGCCCAGUGGGCCACUUUUGGUAAGCAGAACUGGCGCUGUGGGAUGAACCAAAAGCCGGGUUACGGCGCCCGAUGCGGACGCUUAUCAGACCCCAUGAAAGGUGUUGGUUGCUAUUGACAGCAGGACGGUGGCCAUGGAAGUCGGAA